RNA transcript from Brachypodium distachyon (stiff brome), 3208 nucleotides. RefSeq lists it as uncharacterized. The record is from RefSeq and is a predicted model, not a curated record. The transcript is spliced from 3 exons. Lineage: Eukaryota; Viridiplantae; Streptophyta; Magnoliopsida; Poales; Poaceae.
GAAAUUUGGUCGUGGAGUGGUACUUCUUCUAGAGAAGCGACGACCGAGCCGCCUCCCGAACCUCCCUCAACCAUGCCCAUCCACUCUCGUCGCCCUCCUCCUUCAACGCCGAGUCGCGCCGCCGCAGCCUCCGAGUGGCGCCGUGGCCGCCCACCUUCCCGCGCCGUCGCAUCGUUGACAUAUAUAUCCGCGCACCGCGCCUCCAUCCGUCCCCUCCCCCGACGCCCUGAAGACUAGCUCGUGGCGCAGACCACCCCGACGCCGCCUACCUCCGCCGUCCCAGUAGCCUCACGCGGGCGGCAAUAUGGAUCUGGACGCCCCAAAUCUCUCCCUGGACGAACUGCCCUCCACCGUGCUCCCUGCCGCUCGAGUGCAUCGUCACCGCCGAUGAGGUGCUCGUCCUGGGCGGCUCCUGAAGCCCUUGACGCUGUCGGAGGCGGAGGCGACCACCAUGCUAUCUCGUCCUGAGCUACACACGUAGUUCGCCGCUGCAAAUUUUCUAUGCAUUCUUUGUGUAUUGUUCUGAGGGAUAACAACUGACAUCAUGGAGCAGCCUUCGUGGAAGGUUAAGGGGAGGUCGUCCAAUUUGUUUGCACGAACAUGGCGGAGUUGACACUCUGGAAUAGUCUGGGAUCAACGUUCCUCUUGUCCUGCUCCUUUACAUAACCCAGGUAGGCGCAAUCUGAAACCUCAUACUGUUUUUAGCGCCACAAAUGUAUGUGAUACUGCAUUUUUAGCGUCACUGGCGGGUUGGUUGGUUGGUCUCAACAUCAACCUGCCAAAGGAAAUCAUGAUAUUGUUGAGGUAUUGGUCAUUCCUUCCCUAGAUAUAUUAUUAUAGUUAUGUUUUUCUUCCUGUGAGAUGAUUAACACGAGGUUAACGCUGUCUUUAUAACUGUUAUGCCCAGACAUGUUAAAAAUAUAUGGGUGCGGAAGAUUUUUCUGUUUUCUGAGCACACAUGGUAUGUUUGAUGAAUUGCACAUAGGGAAUUCCAGUAGUCCAGACGUCCAGUUAUCUAAAAUCUGGUUUGGCAUUUUGUUUGCUCAUGGGAAUAACCACAUUUUCUAAUAACCGAUUCAAUGAUAUAUAGCUGUGCACGUCUAGUGCCCAAUGUAAAGUCUAACACAGUGGUCACGAAUGAAGCAUGAUGAACUUCCAUGUGCUACUUUUUUCUCCCUCUAUGAUCCUGUUCUAAAGAUGACGACACUUAUGAUUAUGAGCAGGCAACAACAAGUGGGCAAUUGCAUUCUGCUUGUUUUCUUUUUUUUUGACGAAACAGCCACAAUGAGCUAUUUAUUGCCAAAGAAGGUCGGAGGGAAUCCAACCAGAAGGUUACAUAGAGAAAACACAGAAAAAAACACUAGAGCUUGGAGGCAGGGAACAGAGGAAAUAAAGGAAAAAGAUUAAGGCACAUCAUCGGGUCCUGAAACAAGAGCACCUAGACCUAUUACCACUAGAUGCGCCUCAACAUCUUCAAAAAAGACAAGCUUCCGGGCAGCAGUAGAACCCUUGCAAUUGGAACAGCGAUUCCCAUUCAGCGGAGACUUAUAACGAUCAUUUGCUGGCCCCUUUCCAUUAGCGCCUCUUUUAAGCAUUUCAACAAAAUAAUGCUGACCACCUGCAGCUGCAUGAAGCAUCCGCUCAAAAAAGGAGCAUUUCAUACUAAAGAUCAAAGUGUAACCAGGAACAACCGGGCAGAGAACGCCGGACUUCAAGAUCCUAACACGCAAAGUGUAACCAUUCUGCUUGUUUUCGUGGUUUAAUUUUGGAACCAUUUUUCCACCUUAUUUCUACAUCUUGCUUGCUAAGUAGUUACUUUGUGUUAGUUACCCAGUUCUUGCAAUGAAGCGAAUGCGUGAGUACCCAUCAAGGCAAGUCUUUAGCUCCUAAAAAAUAGUUUAUUAUGGAUGUGCUACUUAUCACUCCAUCUAUUUUUUUCUCUGGUCCAAACAAGUCAGACACCUAAUAUGGAAACUGUUUAUUUUUUCCUCAGUUUGUUUAGCUGUAUGUAUAUUGUUCAAUAAUCAAGCCUAGGACCAAGCUGUAGAGCAGGCGGUAUGCUCAUGUUCACAAGCUUGCAGUUACCACCACCAGCAUGCCCUGGCGCUGAUCCUACAGCAUACAUUGGAUGUCCUUUGGAUAUGCGCCAACCAGGCUGACAAGAAUGUGGUCAUCCUCACCAUGCUCCUGUACCAACUUUGUCCACCACCCGACAACUCUGCUCUCAGUCUGGUAAGCUGCUCGGCACACUGACAUUGGAGCCUCGCUUGCAUGUGCCUUCCUGAUGGUGCCAACCGAGCCGGCAGGACACUGGACACCAUGCCAAUCCCACCGCUGAACGACUCCAGACUCGGUGAGCUUCACUCAGUGGUGCUUGUUUUGCAGCUACAUGGAAGGUCGGACGCUCGUCCCUGACCAGGAGGAUGCUCUUCGCUGGAACUGGUCGAGCUCUGGUUCCUACUCUGCGCAAUCCGCUUAUCUCCACUUCUUCGUUGGUCGUCCGACUUCCCCCACUUGGUCCCAGAUUUGGCGGUGUUGGACUCCGCUUAAAUGUCGGAUCUGGGUGUGGCUCGCGGCUGCUAAUCGGUGUUGGACGGCGGAUCGCUUGGAGCGCCGACACCUCCCUUUCAACGCGCUCUGUCCGCUCUGCGAUCAGGACCCGGAGACUCUGCGGCAUCUCCUCCUGGAUUUCCCUUUCUCCAAAUCGGUCCUUCAUGAGGUCUUCUCUAAAGCAGGCGCGCUCCGUUGCUUACCCCGCCCUUCGGAGGACCUCCCGGAGUGGCUUUCCAAGGGCACUCUUAGGCUUCGUGGCAAGGUCAAGGCGGUUCGGUUGCUCAUCAACCUCUCUCUCUGGCGCAUUUGGCAGCUCUGGAACGAUUGUGUCUUUGAAGACGCUCGACCGGUGGCUGCGCGUCUUGCUGAGGAUAUCCUUGGGGAGGCUGACCUUUGGAGGGCCGCGGGCGCUCGAGCUCUAGAGCGUCUCCCCCUCCACUCGCGUCCCCAUGACUAGCUUUGUUCUCUUUGCUUGUUGUACAGUAGCUGUAGGCUUUUUCCUUUGCUUUGAGGCCUGUUAGGUCUCACCUUUGCCUUUUGUAUUUGCGCUUCUUGCGCUUUCUUCUUAAUGGAAAUGACACACCGCUCAAUGUGUUUGAGAAAAAAAAAUGGUAAGGGAUAAUUUUCCGAUCCACUUACCAUCAUAUUGGUUCAA